AACGAACGCUGGCGGCAGGCCUAACACAUGCAAGUCGAACGUGAAGCCAGAGCUUGCUCUGGUGGAAAGUGGCAGACGGGUGAGUAACGCGUGGGGAUUUACCCAGUGGUACGGAAUAACCCAAGGAAACCUGGGCUAAUACCGUAUACGCCCUCCGGGGGAAAGAUUUAUCGCCAUUGGAUGAACCCGCGUCGGAUUAGCUUGUUGGUGGGGUAAUGGCCCACCAAGGCGACGAUCCAUAGCUGGUCUGAGAGGAUGAUCAGCCACACUGGGACUGAGACACGGCCCAGACUCCUACGGGAGGCAGCAGUGGGGAAUAUUGGACAAUGGGGGCAACCCUGAUCCAGCCAUGCCGCGUGAGUGACGAAGGUCUUCGGAUUGUAAAACUCUUUUAGCAGGGACGAUAAUGACGGUAACUGCAGAAUAAGCCCCGGCUAACUUCGUG
RNAcentral lists this ribosomal RNA (445 nucleotides) under uncultured bacterium. RNAcentral describes it as "bacterial SSU rRNA". It matches the Rfam family "Bacterial small subunit ribosomal RNA", at positions 29 to 507 of the family's 1533-position model. The record is from RNAcentral.